CCGAAAAUGUAUCUGAUGAUUAUAGGGGCGUGCUGGAAUAGACUACGUUUUUUAUUUAAUGUUUUGUUUUUGAGAAGAAGGCGUUUUACCACACAUAUUCUGCGAAAUAAGCGCUCAAGAGGUGGCCUUGCUAUUGUAUGUAACGUUAUAUUUAAUGUAGACUUAUGUCGUUCUAUAUGAGCAUCGGUCAGCUAAAUUACUGAAAUGUAUGCAGGUGAAUGUAUCUGCUUAGGUGGUAAGCCUAACCACAAUUAUAAUUGUCUCAACGUUUGCCACGACGUUAAUCUGUUGUGUGUAUUUCUUUGACAAUUGUUCCAAAUUUAUUUAAAUGAGGAAAACUAUUGCCAGCCUUGCAGUACGCUGUUAAUAUUGUUGCAUUUUAAUAACGUCCCAGAUCGCAUAAAAUAUCCGCACGGCUUCUUUUUGCCGCCGGCCCUAAGCUGUCGGCUAUAGGUGCGUCCUGCUGGCGGGGAUGAAACGUUUGCCGCCGAAUAAGUCACUCCCAUUUCUUGCGAGAUGCCGCCGGCAAUCAUCCGGCGGUCUGACUGCUUCAUUUUCUCUGGCUGUUGCCUCGGUCUAAUGGACUGCGUCCGUCCGGCGACAAGCCGCUUUUAAAUACAAGGCUACUCUCAAAAUCAACCAGCCAUGUUGGUUUGGACACACAUUCGCAUCAGUUCGUCGUUCAAUCGCGAGUUACUACAGCCUGCAGUUUGCUAGCUAGCAAAGUCAUAGACUACCAUCGUUUAAAUACCUUGACCAGAGCAUAACCGGUUAUCUUCACCCAAGAGACCUACUGUUGGUCAAUCGUUUUGGCUUUAAAGGUAAAUGCAUUGUUAGUCACAAUGUCUAGUUACUGGGCCAAAAGGAAAAUAAUAUUUUGAGAUGGACAAACAGGACAUUCACUUCACUACAUGCUAAUGAAGUUGGAUCGAUUCCAGAAAACCAGGAAAAUGUUGAGCCAUCUGUAGACUUCAGAGCUGGUAUGUAAAAUGUAUUGCUGUGAUGCUUAAUUUGUGAUCCUGUAACUAAACUCUACACUUUGUUAGAUUUUCACAUUUCUGUUCCCUCGUUCUCAGAACCAGGUUUCUCCCCAGUAAUCCAGACUCCAGUUCAGAGCGUUGUGCUUAACUAAGUUUUACAUUUAAGUCCAAAUCAUUAAAUGUAUGCAAUUACUUCAAACAUAUUUUUACAUCAAUGGAGAAAGUCAUCGCUUUGUUAUUGGCCCUUGGACGCCCCUGGCAUCUUGUGUACAGCACAAAGUUUUCAGCUAUGAAGGUAUAUUCUAGGCCUAUGUCUUAUUGUCCAGUGUUUUAACAGUAUUGAAAAUAUUGCCUUUGGUAGUUGUUUGUUUAUGUAGAUUUCCAGAGACUCCAGAAUGAAAACCAAGCCCUGAAGGAAUGCAAUGCACAAGCAGCUUUGGAUGACAGCCGCUCACUUAAACAGCAGGUGAAGCAAGUAGGGACAAUGUUGAAGACGUUUGCUCUAACUGGGCAAUCAGGUGCGUUACCUGAAAGGAGCAUCUGACCGUGAAGGCAGAAAAAGCCGCACAGCUGAGAAAGACCCACAGCCGACCCCUUAAACCUAGGCUGACACCCCAGCAUCACUGAACUGGAACACUUUCUUUAUCCUGCAGUCAGUAACAUCAAGAAGCCAGAAGUGCCAGACUACACUCACCAAAUCCACCCUGUUCACUGUUUUUUUUAUUUUUAUUUUAACUUAUGCAUUGGCUUAUUUCAUUCCGUCAGUGCUUAACGAUUUGCUUAACGUUUGUAAAUCCUAUUUCAUACCUGUUACUUGAUAUUGCACGUUAACUAGUACCAAAAUUCUACUUUCAUUCCAUCAGUGUGCUUAACUGUUAUUCUAUUAAUAAUAGCGUGGAAAUACUAUUUCAUACCUCUGAUACUUGAUAUUGCACAUUACCUGGUACCAAAUAUUCUACUUACUCUGUUUUUAACAUCAGCAUUUUUCAUUCCGUCACAGUGCUUAACUGUUAUUCUAUUGUUAAAUAUAGCUUGUAAAUCCUUGCAGUUAUAAUGGUCUGUUCUACUACUGUUAAACACAACUUGAUAUAUAUCAAGUUUUGUUUAUCACAGAUACAAGAGACGCAGAUCUUAUUGCAGCACGGUGUAAAUCUUGUGCUCCAGGUCAGCAAUGGCAUUAUAAUGGUCUAUUCUACUCUAGAGCUUUACUUUAAAUUAUUACCACUUUUCCUAUUGUUAGAAAUUGCUUGAAAAUGUGAUGUUAUACCUCGAUUUAUUUGGUAUCCUGCACAUUCUUUGGUACCAAAUAUCCUCAUUACUUAUGUUUACUGGUAAUUAUUUUCAUCCCUGAGCUGACCUCUUUAUAUUAUUAACAAUUAUUGUGUUUGUGUUAUAAUUUUCCAAAACUCAAAAAUAAUCAGUCCGGAAGGAUUAGGAUAGAGCAACUGUCUGUGUCCACCACUUGUAAAACCAUUCCCUUUUUGGGGGUUGUCUUUCUGUAGCUUCUCCAGUGCACCUGUUGUCACUUUCAUUCACACCAAACGUGCAAUUGAUUCACAAUCGCUUAUGCUUCCUAACUGGCCAGAUUGAUUUCCCUGAAGUUUAAUUGAUUUGUUGUUAUACUGUGAUGAUUACGCGUUGCAGUGUAUUUCCUAUUGAAUAUAACAUUUAAAUGAUUUGCACAUCAUUGCAUUCUGUUUUUCUUUACAUUUUACACAGUUACUCAACUUUUCUAGAUACAUG
Molecule: long non-coding RNA, 2723 nt
Organism: Esox lucius (northern pike)
Lineage: Eukaryota; Metazoa; Chordata; Actinopteri; Esociformes; Esocidae
Source: Ensembl